This 254-nucleotide ribosomal RNA is filed under the name uncultured bacterium. RNAcentral's name for it is "partial 16S ribosomal RNA". It matches the Rfam family "Bacterial small subunit ribosomal RNA", at positions 524 to 776 of the family's 1533-position model. The record is from RNAcentral.
UACGUAGGGUGCGAGCGUUGUCCGGAAUUACUGGGCGUAAAGAGCUCGUAGGUGGUUUGUCGCGUUGUCCGUGAAAACUCACAACUCAAUUGUGGGCGUGCGGGCGAUACGGGCAGACUGGAGUACUGCAGGGGAGACUGGAAUUCCGUGGUGUAGCGGUGAAAUGCGCAGAUAUCAGGAGGAACACCGGUGGCGAAGGCGGUUCUCUGGGCCUUACCUGACACUGAGGAGCGAAAGCGUGGGGAGCGAACAGG